ACCCACUGGAUUGCUCGCGUCUCCCAGACAAGUGAAUGACGUCCUCUGAGGUCCCAGGCUGAAGGCUGCUUGAGAGCCAGGCUCCUCAUUCCCACGUGUAGCUCCAGUGCUCACAGAGCGGCAAGGAGGACUCCUUACUACUUUGCUAAAAGGAGAUCAAUGGGCUUUAAAGCCCAGGAAGCAACUGGAGAGUGAAACUGGACAGAUGCUGUGACCUUGGGGA
This 223-nucleotide long non-coding RNA is filed under the name Mus spicilegus (steppe mouse). RNAcentral's name for it is "lncRNA (ENSMSIG00000010402.1)". The record is from RNAcentral. Lineage: Eukaryota; Metazoa; Chordata; Mammalia; Rodentia; Muridae.